This 432-nucleotide ribosomal RNA is filed under the name Triticum aestivum (bread wheat). RNAcentral describes it as "partial small subunit ribosomal RNA". The record is from RNAcentral. Lineage: Eukaryota; Viridiplantae; Streptophyta; Magnoliopsida; Poales; Poaceae.
AUGGAAGGCCUUCUCCACUGGGAUUUCAACCCUGGCCUUGCUGUGGCCGAUGAGGUGCGUCGACGUUUUGGUGAAACCAUUCAUUUUUCGCCCUCUCGUUCUACCAAGGAAUUUUUCUUGGUCGUUUCCUUCUCUUCUGCUUCUUUUCCUCAAUCGAAAGAAUCAGUUAGUAUUGCUUUGAAAUGUUGCAUUGGUGGUCACCCACAUGGUUUCAAGGUUUCUCAGAUUAGUGAUCGUUCCUUCUGGUUCUCUGUGGCUGGAAACAAAGUGGGACAUUAUAUUCAUGGGAUCAAGGAUCACAUUUGGCCAGAUUUUAUUUGUCACUAUCAUUUGUUCAAUGGCCGUUUCAAUGGGAUCAAGCAUUUUGAGUCUAGUUGGCAUGUGGAUGAAGUUAUUGAUAUUAUCGCUUCUCGUAGCCCUGUGGUUGUCUGA